RNAcentral lists this ribosomal RNA (311 nucleotides) under uncultured eukaryote. Its description in RNAcentral is "partial 18S ribosomal RNA". It matches the Rfam family "Eukaryotic small subunit ribosomal RNA", at positions 1470 to 1796 of the family's 1831-position model. The record is from RNAcentral.
CCCCUAGACGUUCUGGGCUGCACGCGCGCUACAAUAAUACGCACAGCGAGUAUCACCGAGCUCGAAAGGGCAAGGUAAACAAUAGAAAAGGUACUGUAAUGGUUAUAGAUCCGUGUAAUUAUUGAUCUUCAACGAGGAAUUCCUAGUAAGUAUGUGUCAUCAUCACGCACUGAUUACGUCCCUGCCCUUUGUACACACCGCCCGUCGCUCCUACCGAUUGGGUGAGCCGAUGAAACUCUCGGAUGUAGGCUAUUCAUAGCCCGCAGAAGAGAUUUGAAUCGUAGCGCUUAGAGGAAGGAGAAGUCGUAACA